RNAcentral lists this long non-coding RNA (1170 nucleotides) under Numida meleagris (helmeted guineafowl). Its description in RNAcentral is "lncRNA (ENSNMEG00000022174.1)". Lineage: Eukaryota; Metazoa; Chordata; Aves; Galliformes; Numididae. The record is from RNAcentral.
AUGGUUACUGAGACCAGUGUCAAAAGGCCACAGCUGGAAGUAGCAGAUAAGGCCUCUGCCCAGGACAUUUUCACCGACCAGUUCCACCUGCGGUCAGUUUGCCUUGAAUUCAACUUGUGCUCAGCACACUGCACACAGGAUAGUUACAAAGUCACUGACAAGCAAGGCCUGCACGCCUCGCAGCAACUUGUUUAUGUGGUGGGUGCGCUUCUCCGACAAGCGCUGUCGCUGGAACUCGAGCAGCCCCACCGCGGCGGCGCAGAGCGCGGCACGGACCCCGGACCCCAGCUGGGAGGGGCGGGCUGCGGGCCGGCGGCGCGGCACCCCCUAGCGGGGCGGCGGCCGCGCAUUGUCUCCUGGCGGGGUGGGGCUUCUCGUUGCCAUCUCUCGGCCGGGCCGGAUCCCGCGCAGCUGCCGCGGCGGCUCCGACGAAGGGAGAGGGGCAGGCGCUGGCGUGCCCCGCAGGCGGGCGCUGAGGCGCGGGCGGAGGCGGGUCGGCGGCCCGUGGCCGCCGUCUCCUUGCCGACGGAGGAGGGGUCCGAGCCCUCGCCGGGGCAGCGAGGAGCUGCGAGGCGGCUGGGGGCGGCCGCCGCAGCCUGGCCGGAGCGGGCGGCUCCCGGCUCCGCCCCGCGUCCGCCCUGCCCGCCCGGGCACCCGGAGCGCCGCAGCCCGGUGAGUACGCGCCCGCGGGGGCUCUCCCCGUGCCGCAGCCCCGGCCCCGAGAGCAGCGCAGGCCCCGCGGCCUGGCCGCGCUUUGUUCCCGCGGUGACUGCGGGUGCCUCGCUCCGCCGGGUGUUGGCCGGCCGGCCGGCGGCCCCGCCGGGGCACGAAGGGGCGGCGGUGUCCCGGCCUCGCGGGGCAGCCCCGGCGGGGCAGAGCUUGGUCACCCGGGGGAGCCGGCGCAACAGGUCUGGGCUUUGUCCGUGCCGCCGCUACGGACGUGGCCGCGGCGGGGGGGCCGCCGGGUGGCCGGGGCCUGCCCUUGUGCGGGAGCGCCCGGCCGCGCUGCCCGGCGUCUCGGGGCUGCCCGGAGCGGCUCAGCGGGAGCAGCCUCGGCACCAGCACCGCCUCGUGCCGGGCGCUCCGCGGCGCGUGGAAGCGCUGCUCGCUCGGGAGCUGAUUCACGGCUGCAGCGCGGGUUGCUCGCGGCCCCGGUUGCCAUUUCUUUGA